Molecule: ribosomal RNA, 277 nt
Filed under: uncultured prokaryote
Description: partial 16S ribosomal RNA
Rfam family: Bacterial small subunit ribosomal RNA
Source: RNAcentral
UACGUAGGGGGCGAGCGUUGUCCGGAUUUACUGGGCGUAAAGGGUGAGUAGGCGGUUGUAUAUGUCAGGUGUAAAAGGCUAUGGCUUAACCAUGGUUAGCACUUGAAACUGUACAACUUGAGUGCAGGAGGGGUAAGUGGAAUUCCUAGUGUAGCGGUGAAAUGCGUAGAUAUUAGGAGGAACACCAGUGGCGAAGGCGACUUACUGGACUGUAACUGACGCUGAGUCACGAAAGCGUGGGUAGCAAACAGGAUUAGAUACCCGCGUAGUCCCUGAG